AAAUCUAAUCUAAAUCCUGACGGUAAUCGAAGAGGAUAAGUGCCAACGACUUCUGCAGCAACUUUUGCUCCAUUGCUGAUCCGAAGGAUCAUGUCACCUUCCCUCAACCUUCUACUUUCUAUUAGACCUUGCAUUGAGGUACAUAUAUGAGCACUCAAAUCAGAGUCCAAUAUCUAAUUAGAAGUAGAAGAAACCGUAAGGUUAGAUUCAAUUAUGAGUAUUCCUUCUGAAAGUUUAUCACCCUUCUUAGUCUUUAGACUCUCCAAGU
RNAcentral lists this long non-coding RNA (268 nucleotides) under Elaeis guineensis (African oil palm). Its description in RNAcentral is "long non-coding RNA (EGUI_LNC070898)". The record is from RNAcentral. Lineage: Eukaryota; Viridiplantae; Streptophyta; Magnoliopsida; Arecales; Arecaceae.